Planococcus citri (citrus mealybug) is the source of this 1235-nucleotide long non-coding RNA. RefSeq lists it as uncharacterized. The record is from RefSeq and is a predicted model, not a curated record. Lineage: Eukaryota; Metazoa; Arthropoda; Insecta; Hemiptera; Pseudococcidae. The transcript is spliced from 2 exons.
AAAUAGACUAAUCACUUGAAAAAUGGCAAAUUUUUAUACAACCCAAUGUGCUACUAUUUUUUGAAAAUGUUUGAUGCCACAGGGCUCGGGCACGUUUAUGGAUAAUUUCAACUACAUAUUUAAGACAAAUUUGGAACAAUUUAACCUGAGUGUGAAAAACAAAGAAAAUUUCAUGAAAGGAAAAAUACCUUUUUUUAUACUAUGUACGAAAAUUUCAAUCGGCAGAACUGUCAUUUUUCUCUUAUUUUACUUCGUGAAUCAGGUAGGUACUUACCUACGUAGCCAAGAGUAUUUUACUGGUGAAAAUUUCUGUGUAAUUUUUUUCUCAUGCUGAUCAAUACAUUUUUAGUCACCCUCCCCCCUCAUAGAUAGUUCUCUUUGGUCUUGACUAUCUUCCCUCAUGUGCUUUAAUUAAAAUUGAAAUCACCUACCCAUAUAAAAAUUGGACUAUACAAUAUGGUGAGUAUAAAACACAAAAGUUAGUACGAGGUAAAAAAGUAUUCUCUGCCUUUACUGCAAUAAAUGUUAGGCAUGUGAUAAUAAUUUAUCUGGCAGGGGUCCUUCAUUUUUUUUGAUAGUGAGAAACGCUCUAACUAUUUUUAAUCGGUUGAUGCACCGUAUCACAAUAUUCUCUGGUUCAGUAAAUUUGAUAAGCUAAUUAACACUUUGUUUAAUACAUAUCGUAUUUAUAUUAGAGUGGAUAUGGUGUGAAAAAUAAUCUUCUGUUGAAUUAGGUAGUAACGAUGAGUUUAAAAAUUGCAUUUAGUAUGAUUUGGGUUUGUAUUUAUCCAUGUAUUAUUUGCUUACGUUUUUGAACGUGUUUUUCGUGAUGUGUUAAUGCGAACAAUUUCAUUUUCUACAGAUCAGAUCAAUUCAGCUGUUGAAAAGCAACUUCACUCGAAACUGGAAUGAAAUGAUGCCAAGAACCAAAUUCUGGAGCAGUACUUUACACGUCCUGUUGAUUCUUCUAUGUGACUUGAAUAACCUAAUACCAGUCAAUGGUCAAGAUGAACUGGAAAUGCUGGAAUUUUCAACCGAAUUUUCAGAAUUUGAUUCGACACUUGCUCCAGAAACAUUAUACUGCCAGUAUUUCAAACAUGAUGGCAGCGUAUGCCCAAAUCGAGAAUUCCUUUCCAAAAGAAACAACUUCAACUAUACAGAAAAUGGUGACUUAAUUUACGAGUACGAAAACAAAACCAGAAGUAUUUUCAAAUCAGGUACAUUUACCAACGAAA